GUCUAUAGCCACGCUACCCUGAACAAGCCCAGUCCUGUCUGAUCUCAGAAGCUAAGCAGAGUCAGACCUGGUUAGUACUUGGAUGGGAAACCACUUAGGAAGACCAGGUGCUGUAGGUG
Pteropus alecto (black flying fox) is the source of this 119-nucleotide non-coding RNA. NCBI's taxonomy places the organism in Eukaryota, Metazoa, Chordata, Mammalia, Chiroptera, Pteropodidae. The record is from Rfam.